Molecule: ribosomal RNA, 660 nt
Filed under: uncultured bacterium
Lineage: Bacteria
Description: bacterial SSU rRNA
Rfam family: Bacterial small subunit ribosomal RNA
Source: RNAcentral
AGUGGCGGACGGGUGAGUAACGCGUGAGAAUCUGCCUUGGGGUCGGGGACAACCACUGGAAACGGUGGCUAAUACCGGAUAAGCCGAUUGGUGAAAGAUUUAUUGCCCGAAGAGGAGCUCGCGUCUGAUUAGCUAGUUGGUGAGGUAAGAGCUCACCAAGGCAGCGAUCAGUAGCUGGUCUGAGAGGACGAUCAGCCACACUGGGACUGAGACACGGCCCAGACUCCUACGGGAGGCAGCAGUGGGGAAUUUUCCGCAAUGGGCGAAAGCCUGACGGAGCAAGACCGCGUGAGGGAGGAAGGCUCUUGGGUUGUAAACCUCUUUUCUCAGGGAAGAAGCUCUGACGGUACCUGAGGAAUCAGCCUCGGCUAACUCCGUGCCAGCAGCCGCGGUAAUACGGAGGAGGCAAGCGUUAUCCGGAAUUAUUGGGCGUAAAGCGUCCGCAGGUGGCGAUUCAAGUCUGCUGUCAAAGCACGGGGCUUAACUCCGUAAAGGCAGUGGAAACUGAAUAGCUAGAGUGCCGUAGGGGUAGAGGGUGUUCCCGGUGUAGCGGUGAAAUGCGUAGAGAUCGGGAAGAACAUCGGUGGCGAAAGCGCUCUACUGGACGGCAACUGACACUCAGGGACGAAAGCUAGGGGAGCGAAUGGGAUUAGAUACCCC